This 74-nucleotide transfer RNA is filed under the name Geotrichum reessii. Its description in RNAcentral is "Galactomyces reessii tRNA-Ala". It matches the Rfam family "tRNA". Rfam says of the family: Transfer RNA (tRNA) molecules are approximately 80 nucleotides in length. Their secondary structure includes four short double-helical elements and three loops (D, anti-codon, and T loops). Lineage: Eukaryota; Fungi; Ascomycota; Dipodascomycetes; Dipodascales; Dipodascaceae. The record is from RNAcentral. RNAcentral also lists the same sequence under 2 other names.
GGGCGUCUGGUGUAGUUGGUUAUCACACUCGCUUAGCAUGUGAGAGGUCCCCGGUUCAAUUCCGGUGUCGUCCA